UACGUAGGGUGCGAGCGUUAAUCGGAAUUACUGGGCGUAAAGCGUGCGCAGGCGGUUUUGUAAACCAGAUGUGAAAUCCCCGGGCUCAACCUGGGAAUGGCAUUUGGGACUGCAAGGCUGGAGUGUGGCAGAGGAGACUGGAAUUCCUGGUGUAGCAGUGAAAUGCGUAGAUAUCAGGAGGAAUACCGAUGGCGAAGGCAGGUCUCUGGGCUGACACUGACGCUCAUGCACGAAAGCGUGGGGAGCAAACAGG
This 253-nucleotide ribosomal RNA is filed under the name uncultured bacterium. RNAcentral describes it as "partial 16S ribosomal RNA". It matches the Rfam family "Bacterial small subunit ribosomal RNA", at positions 524 to 776 of the family's 1533-position model. The record is from RNAcentral.